This 468-nucleotide ribosomal RNA is filed under the name uncultured bacterium. RNAcentral's name for it is "partial 16S ribosomal RNA". It matches the Rfam family "Bacterial small subunit ribosomal RNA", at positions 28 to 507 of the family's 1533-position model. The record is from RNAcentral.
GACGAACGCUGGCGGCGUGCUUAACACAUGCAAGUCGAACGGAAAGGCCCUGCUUUUGUGGGGUGCUCGAGUGGCGAACGGGUGAGUAACACGUGAGUAACCUGCCCUUGACUUUGGGAUAACUUCAGGAAACUGGGGCUAAUACCGGAUAGGAGCUCCUGCUGCACGGUGGGGGUUGGAAAGUUUCGGCGGUUGGGGAUGGACUCGCGGCUUAUCAGCGUGUCGGUGGGGUAGUGGCUUACCAAGGCUUUGACGGGUAGCCGGCCUGAGAGGGUGACCGGCCACAUUGGGACUGAGAUCCCGCCCAGACUCCUACGGGACGCAGCAGUGCGGCAUAUUGCACCAUGGGCGGAAGCCUGAUGCAGCAACGCCGCGUGCGGGAUGACGGCCUUCGGGUUGUAAACCGCUUUCGCCUGUGACGAAGCGUGAGUGACGGUAAUGGGUAAAGAAGCCCCGGCUAACUACGUG